AUUGAACGCUGGCGGCAGGCCUAACACAUGCAAGUCGAGCGGUUGCAGGGAGCUUCUUGCUUCUUUCCGCGGGGGUGGGGGGAGGAAGGCCUAUGACUGGGCCUCUGCCUGGUGGAGGAGGUUCGCUAACGGGCGCGGAUACCGCAUCCGCCUUGCGUCAGAAGGUGAGGGAGCUUCGGAUCUGGCGCUAUCGGCUUCGCCUAGGUCGGAUUAGCUAGUUGGUGGGGUAAGGGCCUACCAAGGCGACGAUCCGUAACUGGUCUGAGAGGAUGAUCAGCCACACUGGAACUGAGACACGGUCCAGACUCCUACGGGAGGCAGCAGUGGGGAAUAUUGGACAAUGGGCGAAAGCCUGAUGCAGCCAUGCCGCGUGUAUGAAGAAGGUCUUCGGAUUGUAAAGUACUUUCAGCGGGGAGGAAGGGAAGUAAGUUAAUACCUUGGCGCAUUGACGUUACCCGCAGAAGAAGCACCGGCUAACUCCGUG
RNAcentral lists this ribosomal RNA (484 nucleotides) under uncultured bacterium. RNAcentral describes it as "partial 16S ribosomal RNA". It matches the Rfam family "Bacterial small subunit ribosomal RNA", at positions 30 to 507 of the family's 1533-position model. The record is from RNAcentral.